Molecule: ribosomal RNA, 427 nt
Filed under: uncultured bacterium
Lineage: Bacteria
Description: bacterial SSU rRNA
Rfam family: Bacterial small subunit ribosomal RNA
Source: RNAcentral
UGGGGAAUUUUGGACAAUGGGCGCAAGCCUGAUCCAGCAAUGCCGCGUGCAGGAUGAAGGCCUUCGGGUUGUAAACUGCUUUUGUACGGAGCGAAAAGGUCUGCCCUAAUACGGUGGGCUCAUGACGGUACCGUAAGAAUAAGCACCGGCUAACUACGUGCCAUCAGCCGCGGUAAUACGUAGGGUGCGAGCGUUAAUCGGAAUUACUGGGCGUAAAGCGUGCGCAGGCGGUUUAGUAAGACAGGCGUGAAAUCCCCGGGCUCAACCUGGGAACUGCGCUUGUGACUGCUAAGCUAGAGUACGGCAGAGAGGGGUGGAAUUCCACGUGUGGCAGUGAAAUGCGUAGAGGUGUGGAGGAACACCAACGGCGAGGGCAAUCCCCUGGGCCUGUACUGACGCUCAUGCACGAAAGCGUAGGGAGCAAACA